This is a non-coding RNA of Acanthosepion pharaonis, 109 nucleotides long. The record is from the annotation of a GenBank genome assembly. NCBI's taxonomy places the organism in Eukaryota, Metazoa, Mollusca, Cephalopoda, Sepiida, Sepiidae.
GGCGCUUACAGCCACAUUCGAAACACCGGUUCUCAUACGAUCACCGAAGUUAAGCAAUGACAAUCCUGGUCAGUACCUAGGUGGGUGACCGUUUAAGAAUACCAGGUGU